UACGUAGGGUGCAAGCGUUGUCCGGAAUUAUUGGGCGUAAAGAGCGUGUAGGCGGCCAGGUAGGUCUGCUGUGAAAACUCGAGGCUUAACCUCGAGCUGUCGGCGGAAACCAUCUGGCUAGAGUCCGGAAGAGGAGAAUGGAAUUCCCGGUGUAGCGGUGAAAUGCGCAGAUAUCGGGAAGAACACCCGUGGCGAAGGCGGCAUCCUGGACGGACAUUGACGCUGAGACGCGAAAGCGUGGGGAGCAAACAGG
RNAcentral lists this ribosomal RNA (253 nucleotides) under uncultured bacterium. RNAcentral describes it as "partial 16S ribosomal RNA". It matches the Rfam family "Bacterial small subunit ribosomal RNA", at positions 524 to 776 of the family's 1533-position model. The record is from RNAcentral.